Molecule: long non-coding RNA, 2486 nt
Organism: Olea europaea var. sylvestris
Lineage: Eukaryota; Viridiplantae; Streptophyta; Magnoliopsida; Lamiales; Oleaceae
Exons: 4
Source: RefSeq, a predicted model, not a curated record
UUAAACGGUGUAGCAAAUGGGGCAAGUCGCCGCCCCGUCGCGUCUAAGAUGGGGCGGGGUUUGGACGAGGAACCAUCCCUCUCUCUCCACCACCGAAGAAUACGCAAGGACCAGGAUUACGAUUGGGACCUUGAACGUAACAAACGUUCCCGUUCUCGAUCUUCGCGCUUCACUUAAAUUCCAGAACCCUUAUAGAUUUUUUUUUUUUUUUGCUGGUUUGAUUAUGGAUACAGAUAGGAGAAGAGGAAUCUUUCAAGUCUGGGUCCAUCUGAUUCGAGCGUGAUGGUAGUAUGAACCAGUAAAAGGUAUGUUGUAACUGGAGACAAGGAAAGUCUCUUUGCACUGCGCGGAGGAGCCCCGCUUGAAACUUUACUCUCCUCCAAGUCUUGCCACACUUAAAAUCGACUAUCGGUCUCAUGCAAACCCAUUAUACUGGUCGUCUGAUUAGCUUGAACAGCACUUCCAUCAUAUUUUCCCUAUUGUUUAGACAUAUAUCACGUAGGUUUGUUUUAUAAGUUUCUUGAACCUAUUCUUUGUGGUUUUUUUGGGAAAAAAUCAAUACUUUCAUGUCAAGAGCUGAAUAUCAUUUUCCUGUCUUUAAUCCCUUUUCAGUUAAAAUUAUUGGAUUAUUAUGAUUUCCUUGAAUUGAUUUCUUUAAUUUGGGAGAACAAUACUGGAGAUACGGCAUAGGCAGAGUCGGUUCUGCUGCUCAUCCUCCUCCUCUUCUUCCAUCAUCCACUGAUUGAGAUUUAUUAUUCAUUUUUUGUCAUCAGAAAUUCUAAAGCAAAAUGACAUUUCUAGAAUCCUACUCUUGUGUACUUUAUGAUCUUUCCCCUAGCUUUUCUAUAAUAAUUUUUUACCUCUUCUCAUUCUGCCUACACUUGCAGUUUGAAGUUUGAACUUUCUUUCUUCUGUUCCUUUUAUUUGUGUUUCUUCCUAUUGGGACUUUUAUCCAUACAGGAGGAGAAGCCUCAUUCCUUGUAAAUUGAAGACCAUCCCAUGACAAGCUGAUAUCUCAUACUUCCAUCUUUGAAUAUUAGAAAUUCUUAUUUUGUUUCUUAAGAUGUUAAAACUUCAAUUUUGUGCCAUUGUAGCUUGAUCAUGCAUUUGAACUGACUUUUGCACAAAAAAUAACAGUUAUUAUAAUGGCACAUGUUGGUUCCAUAUUUCUUUUUUUUUUCCCCUUAAUUUAUUGGAGCAUUGAUUGGAGUUUAUACUUGAAAGCAAAUUACAAUACAAAAGAAGAGGAAAGGUAGAUUGCAUUUAGCCUAUAUAAGUGUAACAUAUAAGCUGUAUAAGAUAGUUAUUCAGCCUUAAGCAUCAAGAAUUUACUUUCUAUUGAAAAUUUUUUAGCAGUGGCUUCACUGUAUCUUAGAUCUGCAUUACGUUAUACUUUUCCAUACUUGAAAGAUUUUUGAAUAAUUAUCAAGCACUCAAUGUUAUGAUAUUUAGGUAGAAUAAGGUCUUUGAACACUAUUGAUGGUAAACAUGAUGGUCUUAUCUCUUCCUAGCUUUGUGUGAUGCAUAGAAAUUGGAAAAGAAAUUUCAUCACAGCAGCUUGAACUUAUAAUAAUCCACACUUGAGAAAGCAACUAAUUCUUUUGAUGAAGCCAACAAGCUUAAACAAAGUGAAUUAGCCACAUUGUAUAAGGUUGUAAUUCUACGGACAUGUAUAAUCUACACUAUUCUAGAAAAUUUAAAAUGUUAUCAUAAAUAUUGAUGUCUAAGCUAAACACUUUUGUUCUUUCAGGGAGUUUUGCAAGAUGGAAGAAAUAUUGCUGUAAAGAGGCUUUUCUUUAACAAAAGCCAUAGAGCAGUUGAUUUCUAUGACGAAGGUACUUCCUUCCAUGACGUCCACUAGCAAUUCAAAAAGCAUUUGAGAGGAUGAAGACAAAGAAGAGGAGGAGCUUUCCUUGCAGUCUGAUAUCAAAACCAAUGAAGUAUCCCAGCCUGAUAAGCAUGUGUCGAAUAAGGUAAGUCAGACAAUGUUGCGAUCGAAAGACUGUUACUAAUGCUUCGUAUGUUUAAUGCAGGGCUCGGAGGAGAAUGUACCUGGUUCUUUCCAACCUGAAUUCUUGAAAUGUCAUGCGAAGCCAAAUCAAUGUGGAGGUCAGAUGAGAGUACCAGAAACAGAAGGAUGGUCGAAAAACAGGUAGCUUUAAAACCAUGAAUUGACAAAAGAUCUAAAAGCAAAAUGAAAGCCUUUUGAUCUUUAGAAUAAUUUUUAUUUCUGAAGAAAUUGUUUAUUCCUCUAUGGCUUAAUAUUGUUUUCAAAGCUGAUGUGUCUAGUGUUGGGAAAAAAGAAGAAGAAAAGUUCACUUUAUUUUCUGAAUCUAACCCCAAUGUCGAACUGUAAUAGACGCUUGGGAAUCAGCUGAAAUAUUACGAGCUUAGUCAGUCCUUUUUUUUUUUUUUUUAUCGAGCAUCAGAGGUUGUUGAACUUUGGAAUCCCACUUCUAUUCUGGCAAUAUGAAGCGUCUUCAGUA